GGAUAUGGCUCAGUGGUAGAGCAUUUGCCUAGCAUGUAUAAGGUCCUAGGUUCAAUUCUCAGCUCCA
This 67-nucleotide transfer RNA is filed under the name Mesocricetus auratus (golden hamster). It matches the Rfam family "tRNA". From Rfam's summary of the family: Transfer RNA (tRNA) molecules are approximately 80 nucleotides in length. Their secondary structure includes four short double-helical elements and three loops (D, anti-codon, and T loops). Lineage: Eukaryota; Metazoa; Chordata; Mammalia; Rodentia; Cricetidae. The record is from Rfam by way of RNAcentral.